This 446-nucleotide ribosomal RNA is filed under the name uncultured bacterium. RNAcentral's name for it is "bacterial SSU rRNA". It matches the Rfam family "Bacterial small subunit ribosomal RNA", at positions 328 to 792 of the family's 1533-position model. The record is from RNAcentral.
CUCCCAGACUCCUACGGGAGGCAGCAGUGAGGGAUAUUGGUCAAUGGGGGAAACCCUGAACCAGCAACGCCGCGUGAGGGAAGACGGUUUUCGGAUUGUAAACCUCUGUCCUCUGUGAAGAUAAUGACGGUAGCAGAGGAGGAAGCUCCGGCUAACUACGUGCCAGCAGCCGCGGUAAUACGUAGGGAGCAAGCGUUGUCCAGAAUUACUGGGUGUAAAGGGAGCGUAGGCGGGAUAGUAAGUUGAUUGUUAAAACUAUCGGCUCAACUGGUAGAUGCGAUCAAAACUGCAAUUCUUGAGUGAAGUAGAGGCAGGCGGAAUUCCUAGUGUAGCGGUGAAAUGCGUAGAUAUUAGGAGGAACACCAGUGGCGAAGGCGGCCUGCUGGGCUUUAACUGACGCUGAGGCUCGAAAGUGUGGGUAGCAAACAGGAUUAGAUACCCCAGUA